RNAcentral lists this ribosomal RNA (500 nucleotides) under Acinetobacter sp. WR0326. RNAcentral describes it as "bacterial SSU rRNA". It matches the Rfam family "Bacterial small subunit ribosomal RNA", at positions 285 to 776 of the family's 1533-position model. The record is from RNAcentral. Lineage: Bacteria; Pseudomonadati; Pseudomonadota; Gammaproteobacteria; Moraxellales; Moraxellaceae.
AGCGGGUCUGAGAGGAUGAUCCGCCACACUGGGACUGAGACACGGCCCAGACUCCUACGGGAGGCAGCAGUGGGGAAUAUUGGACAAUGGGCGCAAGCCUGAUCCAGCCAUGCCGCGUGUGUGAAGAAGGCCUUAUGGUUGUAAAGCACUUUAAGCGAGGAGGAGGCUACUGAAGUUAAUACCUUCAGAUAGUGGACGUUACUCGCAGAAUAAGCACCGGCUAACUCUGUGCCAGCAGCCGCGGUAAUACAGAGGGUGCAAGCGUUAAUCGGAUUUACUGGGCGUAAAGCGCGCGUAGGCGGCUAAUUAAGUCAAAUGUGAAAUCCCCGAGCUUAACUUGGGAAUUGCAUUCGAUACUGGUUAGCUAGAGUGUGGGAGAGGAUGGUAGAAUUCCAGGUGUAGCGGUGAAAUGCGUAGAGAUCUGGAGGAAUACCGAUGGCGAAGGCAGCCAUCUGGCCUAACACUGACGCUGAGGUGCGAAAGCAUGGGGAGCAAACAGG